UCCUCUCAGCGCUCAAUCCCGGCGAGUGCAGGCAUCACUGAAGACCUGACACCGGCGGAAUCGGACGUCCACUGUCCUCGGCAGAAUUAACCAGGUGUUAUCUUAUGCAAACUUUAUCGCCGUCAGAUGAAGAUGACCAUACCGGCGAUGAGGAUGAGCGCGCUUCGGCGGAGGAGCAGACUUUUUUCCGUCUCCAAACGAGCGGAGAGGCGCAGGGGCGAGACAAUAACGCCCAGAAGUUAUUGAAAUGAAUCGAGCUGGCAUAAGAAGAAGAAACAAAAGGGGCGCUAGCAGCGUUAGCCUUGACCGCAGAGGGAAGCACGGGAAGCAGAAGAGCAAACAAGGAAAACACAAGAGCGAUGAAAGAGAGGUCCAGACAUGAAGGAGGCACGCAUUCACAGACACACGUACAACGGCACCUAGAGUCUGUCUGCGGUCUACACCACCCUGCCACACACACACAUAUACACACACAAACACACGCACAUGCCUGUUACGGUAAGAAUCAGAGACCACCGAGUUAGGGGGACAAUAAUAGUGUGAAUGUGAGAAAACAAACUCAUUAUCCACUGCUAUUUUCUUCUCUGAGUAAUUUAAAGACAAAUUGACUACUUGGAUUCCAAAGUGCUCUAAAUUCAGUAAUUAAAUAAAUAAAAUAAGAAUAUAAAAUAAAUUAGCUAAAUUCAGUCAUUUAACUUCUGAAAAGUAGCUUCUCGGUGCUGGUAAAUAAACAAUGAAAAGAACGUCUUUCAAUCAAAUUCGGAUGUCUCAUUUUGAGCAAAUCUUAAUUUAUGCAGUUCCAUUUUAAUUUUAAUUGUGUGUGUCUGCUGUCAUGCAUGCCAUUUCUAGUGUGUCUGCAUGUGUGUGUGUGCACAAAGCCUGCUUCGUUUUUUGUUUUUUUCUAUUUCCAUCAGUCGAAACCAAUCUCCACAACUCAAGUUUAACAGCUGCACCACAUAUCCCACAAACCCCCACGUCCAACCCCCCCCUUACCCACCCUGUGCCCCUCCCAGGC
Molecule: long non-coding RNA, 1015 nt
Organism: Epinephelus fuscoguttatus (brown-marbled grouper)
Lineage: Eukaryota; Metazoa; Chordata; Actinopteri; Perciformes; Serranidae
Exons: 3
Source: RefSeq, a predicted model, not a curated record